CUACAGAUACACAGAUUCAUUUAAUCAUCUAUAAGUACACACACACAUUUACAAGAAGCCGACUCCCAUGUUUUAUCAACAGUUGGCUGCGGGUUAUCUCCCAUACUAUUGACAUAAUUCCGACAGCAUUUGCGACUCGAACACUUUUUAAAGAGGUACGUCUACUCUACCCUGAAAUGAGAAGAUCUGUUGUCCAGUUGGUGGCCAAGAAAUGGCACCAAACCUUCUCUACAUAUGCCCAGGAGCAGUGUGCUGCCGUCCAACAGAGCCUGAAUUUUGUGAAUGGGGCCAGGGUUGAGCCGAAAGGCCAAGACAAAGAAACUCUGCCAUUGGUCAUCCCUUCAACUGGUGAAGUUCUACGGACUUUCCAUUCAUCUGGUGCCAAAGAUGUGGAUGAUGCAGUGAACAGUGCCAGGUCUGCUGCUCAACAUUGGUCUCAACUUUCUGGUUUUGAACGUGGAAAAAUAUUGCGCAAAGCUGCUCAGUUGCUCAAGGAAAGACGAGAGGAGUUUUCUCAAAUUGAAGUUUUGGAUUCUGGUAAACCUAUAUGGGAAGCACGUGCCGAUGUUGAUGGCUGUAUUGAUUGUCUGGAGUAUUUUGGGGGUCUGGCAGCAAACCUCGCAGGAGAACAUCUGAUUUUACCUGGAGGCAGUUUCAACUAUACCCGUCGUGAGCCUCUUGGUGUGGUUGGAGCCAUUGGUGCAUGGAACUACCCAAUUCAAAUGGCUUCUUGGAAGUCAGCACCAGCUUUAGCCUGUGGUAAUGCCAUGGUUUUCAAACCAUCUCCUUUGACCCCGAUUUCUGCAGUGAUGCUUGGUGAAGUGUAUGCUGAGGCAGGGUUACCUGCUGGAUGUUACAAUGUUGUACAGGGUGCAGCAGCAACUGGUCAGUUACUCAGUAACCAUAGCAACAUUGACAAGAUGACUUUUACUGGCAGUGUACCAACUGGGACGAAAAUCAUGGAGGCCUGUGCAAAGGGAAUAAAACAUGUGACUCUGGAGUUAGGAGGUAAAUCUCCACUGAUCGUCUUUGCCAACAGUGAUUUGGAAUCUGCAGUGAAUGGCGCUGUUUUGGCCAAUUUCCUGAAUGCUGGGCAGGUCUGUUCCAAUGGAACCAGGGUGUUUGUGGAAAAGCGGAUUGCUGAGAAAUUUUUGGAAGAGCUGAUUGCAAAGACAAGUAAGAUGAAAGCUGGAGACCCCAUGAGGGAAGACACAACUAUUGGUGCCUCGAUUAGCAAAGAACAGGCUGAGAAAACCUUACACUUUAUAGAAAUAGCCAAAAAAGAGGGUGCCACGGUAGCAUAUGGUGGAGGCAGAAUUACUCUAGAGGACCCAAAGUUUCAAAAGGGUAACUUCAUCAAACCCUGCAUACUAACAAACCUCAAAGACGACAUGACUGUAGUCAAAGAAGAAGUGUUUGGUGCCGUUUUAUCAUUAUUGGUCUUUGACUCUGAAGAAGAAGUUGUCAGGCGAGCCAACGAUAGCUGUUUUGGACUUGCAGGAGGAAUUUUUACAAAAGACUUACAGCAAGCUCACCGUGUUGCUGGUAAUCUACAAACUGGCAGUAUCUACGUUAACAAUUACAAUGUAGUUACUAUUGGUAUACCAUUUGGUGGUUUUAAGAUGUCUGGAAUCGGUCAUGAGAAUGCUGCUGUGACCAUGAACUACUACACUCACCUUAAAUCAGUGUAUAUCGAGAUGGCUGAGCAAUUAGAAUCUCCUGUAUAAGACACAGCAUGACUAAAUGUCUUCAAAAUGAAUGGAACCAGUAGCUUAUUUUGAUAAAGAUAAGCAGUGAAGGAUGUCCAAGGAUAAAUACUUAGGUGGCCACAGUUGCCAGUAUGGAAGCUGUGACAGACAACAAACAAUCACAAGGAAUCAUAAAAAAAAAAAAAUUGUAAUUUAAUGAAAUAAAUAUUUUUAUAAAUAUUAAA
This 1933-nucleotide unclassified non-coding RNA is filed under the name Octopus sinensis (East Asian common octopus). RNAcentral's name for it is "4-trimethylaminobutyraldehyde dehydrogenase, transcript variant X1". The record is from RNAcentral. Lineage: Eukaryota; Metazoa; Mollusca; Cephalopoda; Octopoda; Octopodidae.